CCUACGGGAGGCAGCAGUGAGGAAUAUUGGUCAAUGGCCGGAAGGCUGAACCAGCCAUGCCGCGUGAAGGUCAGUGCCCUAUGGGCGUUAAACUUCUUUUGUGCGGGAGCAAUAAUGGUCACGUGUGGCCAGACGAGAGUACCGUACGCAUAAGCAUCGGCUAACUCCGUGCCAGCAGCCGCGGUAAUACGGGGGAUGCAAGCGUUAUCCGGAUUUAUUGGGUUUAAAGGGUGCGUAGGCUGUGAGGUAAGUCAGCGGUGAAAUGCCCCCGCUCAACGGGGUGAAGUGCCAUUGAUACUGCCUGGCUGGAAUGCGGAUGCGGUGGGAGGAAUGUGUGGUGUAGCGGUGAAAUGCAUAGAUAUCACACAGAACACCGAUUGCGAAGGCAUCUCACGAAUCCGCGAUUGACGCUGAUGCACGAAAGCGUGGGUAUCAAACAGGAGUAGAUACCCUUGUAGUC
RNAcentral lists this ribosomal RNA (460 nucleotides) under uncultured bacterium. Its description in RNAcentral is "partial 16S ribosomal RNA". It matches the Rfam family "Bacterial small subunit ribosomal RNA", at positions 338 to 795 of the family's 1533-position model. The record is from RNAcentral.